This is a non-coding RNA of Aspergillus melleus, 81 nucleotides long. Lineage: Eukaryota; Fungi; Ascomycota; Eurotiomycetes; Eurotiales; Aspergillaceae. The record is from the annotation of a RefSeq genome assembly.
GGUUCUAUAGUCUAGUGGUUAGGACGUUCGGUUUUGAGAAAAAACCUCCGAAAAUCGCCGGUUCGAACCCGGCUAGGACCU